RNAcentral lists this RNase P RNA (364 nucleotides) under Gammaproteobacteria bacterium. RNAcentral's name for it is "RNase P RNA component class A". It matches the Rfam family "Bacterial RNase P class A". Rfam says of the family: Ribonuclease P (RNase P) is a ubiquitous endoribonuclease, found in archaea, bacteria and eukarya as well as chloroplasts and mitochondria. Its best characterised activity is the generation of mature 5'-ends of tRNAs by cleaving the 5'-leader elements of precursor-tRNAs. Cellular RNase Ps are ribonucleoproteins. Lineage: Bacteria; Pseudomonadati; Pseudomonadota; Gammaproteobacteria. The record is from RNAcentral.
UGAGAUGGCCAGACAAUCGCGCUUUUAGUUUGACUUUAAGUGAGGAAAGUCCGGGCUCCAAUGGGCAGGGUGCCAGAUAACUUCUGGGAGGCGUGAGCCUACGGCAAGUGCCACAGAAAAUAUACCGCCUGAUUCUCAGUAAUCAGGUAAGGGUGAAAUGGUGCGGUAAGAGCGCACCGCGCGACUGGUAACAGUCGUGGCAGGGUAAACCCCACCUGGAGCAAGACCAAAUAGAGGAGCAGUUUGCUUGCAAACACGUGUGGUCCGCACGGUUCCUGGGUAGGUUGCUUGAGGCAAACGGUGACGUUUGUCCCAGAUGAAUGAUUGUUCUCGACAGAACCCGGCUUAUCGGCCAUCUCACUUU